UACCUCUUCUUCUAUCUUCAC
This 21-nucleotide non-coding RNA is filed under the name Caenorhabditis elegans. Lineage: Eukaryota; Metazoa; Nematoda; Chromadorea; Rhabditida; Rhabditidae. The record is from RNAcentral.